UAACAUCCAGCUCACUUUGAAGGUUCGCCUUCUGAAAAAAAACCAAUUCCUAUUACCUGACA
RNAcentral lists this small nucleolar RNA (62 nucleotides) under Tetrahymena elliotti 4EA. RNAcentral describes it as "Tetrahymena snoRNA TtnuCD4". It matches the Rfam family "Tetrahymena snoRNA TtnuCD4". The record is from Rfam by way of RNAcentral. Lineage: Eukaryota; Ciliophora; Oligohymenophorea; Hymenostomatida; Tetrahymenidae.